GACGAACGCGGCGGCGUGCUUAACACAUGCAAGUCGAACGGAGCGAAUGAAAGCUUGCUUUUAUGAGCUUAGUGGCAAACGGGUGAGUAACACGUAGACAACCUGCCGAUCAGAUGGGGACAACAUUCCGAAAGGAAUGCUAAUACCGAAUGGUGUGCGGGGGAGGCAUCUCCCCCGCAUGAAAGAUGGCCUAUACAUGUAAGCUAUCACUGAUUGAUGGGUCUGCGUCUGAUUAGCUGGUAGGUAAGGUAACGGCUUACCUAGGCGACGAUCAGUAGCCGGUCUGAGAGGAUGAACGGCCACAUUGGGACUGAGACACGGCCCAGACUCCUACGGGAGGCAGCAGUGGGGAAUCUUCCGCAAUGGGCGCAAGCCUGACGGAGCAACGCCGCGUGAGUGAAGAAGGUUUUCGGAU
RNAcentral lists this ribosomal RNA (415 nucleotides) under Selenomonas sp. oral taxon F09. Its description in RNAcentral is "bacterial SSU rRNA". It matches the Rfam family "Bacterial small subunit ribosomal RNA", at positions 28 to 423 of the family's 1533-position model. Lineage: Bacteria; Bacillati; Bacillota; Negativicutes; Selenomonadales; Selenomonadaceae. The record is from RNAcentral.